AUGCCGCCGCCACCAUUGCCGGGGUUCCCAGCCUCCGCCACCACCAUCGCCGGGGUUCCCAACCUCCGUCGCCUAACUUUGUGCUCCUACGCCGACCUCCGAGACCGCCGGCGUCGGCGCCAUCGCAACUCCCGGUCAGGGCAGGACUCAAGGGAGGUCGUGGCUCCCCCCAAUCCGUCUCAAUCCCACCGCCCCGCCCAGGAGGACAUGCAACGACAAGCGUUGGCGCAUCGUCGCGGGUGGCGGCGAGGAGGACGGGCCAUGGCAGCCCCCGAAGCACCACCACGACAGCACCUCGCCGCGGCCCCUCGGCAUGGGUUGGCGCCCCCCGUCCAAGAGAUGGGAGUAGAUGCACUACAGGAGGGAUAG
Molecule: ribosomal RNA, 369 nt
Filed under: Triticum aestivum (bread wheat)
Lineage: Eukaryota; Viridiplantae; Streptophyta; Magnoliopsida; Poales; Poaceae
Description: partial small subunit ribosomal RNA
Source: RNAcentral